Amphimedon queenslandica is the source of this 1599-nucleotide long non-coding RNA. RefSeq lists it as uncharacterized. Lineage: Eukaryota; Metazoa; Porifera; Demospongiae; Haplosclerida; Niphatidae. The record is from RefSeq and is a predicted model, not a curated record. The transcript has 7 exons.
AGCAUGCGCAGAUUCACUUGCCGCACUGGCUAGACCACGUGUUGGACUUCUUCAGUUUUUCUUUGAGCUUCUUCUCGUUCUUUUGUUCCUUGACUUCCUAUAGAUGAUGACUCUGACUUAUAACUCCUCAGAAAUUGUCUCUCUCUGGGCUGACCAUAUGGAUAAAGUUGAAGUUAGGCUUUAUGAACCUACAUCAAUGUCUUAUUGUCAAGAAUGGGGCAAGCUUAGUGAUGCUUUAUCUAACGGGAAAGGAGCUAAUUAUAGCACGAUUCAAGUCGCUGAAGACGUUGAUUUGACUCUAACGACUAAUACAGAGACACUGGAACAAGAUGACACCCCACUAAAGAAGCUGAGGCCUCAACACAAAACGGCCUCAUGUUGUUAUAGUAAAGGAACCACUGGAGCAGAAACGGUAAGUGUCCUUACAAGGAUACUCUUGGUGUUACGACUGAGGAGUCCCUAACGAGCUUGGAGUCUUGAGUGAAUCUUUCUUAUUAACAACAACUACAUUUCUUAUCUUUCUUACGAGGGAUUUGUAAUGAGCUUGGAGUCUUGAGUGAAUAUUUUAAAAUUACCAGCUAUAUGGUAUUCAUCUAUGAAUGGAAUUUUGAGUAGAAAAGCUACGUGUAAAAACUUACCAGACUACAAUUGACGGACUUCAAGACAAUAAUUAGAAUAAAAUAAAUAAUUUAAUAACUUAUAGUACCACUCUCUCUCUCCAUCUUGUAGUUGAUGUUUCAGAAUUUGUUCAAGGGAAGGUGCUCAUUGAAGUCGUUGCCAUUAGUUACGAGGAGCCACGCCCACAUGAAAGGGACAAGGGAGAUGAUGUUAGCAGGUGUUGCGUUGAAGCUAAAAUAAAAAUAAAAUUUUCUGUUAAUAGUGUCAGUGCCUAUAUUGAUUGCUCUUUUAGUCGAAAAUUACAGGUCAAUCAGUAUUCAGGAGGUUGACUUGACCUUUGUGUGUUCCCGUGACCUUUUGACCUCUUAAACUGAAGCGACCCAUAGGAUUGACCACACCCUCUUGGACUUUUUUGCAUUCCAACAAAACCACAGGCUAGGCAGCGUAAGGGUCUUGUUGGAUACUUUGUCAUUGGGUUUGAGGUUCCCUCUUAUCCUGUGUACUACUUCAGUACUAGUCCUCAAGAUACACCCACUCACUGGCAUCAGAGGAUAUUCUUCCUCAAUGAACCCAUACAAGUUCAAACAGGUGAUCUAUUAUGUGGUUUCUAUAAGAGCAAAGAUUGUUCAAGAUCACUUAAUAUCAAGAUACAGAUGAUGUUAUUUCCACUCUCAAAAGAAUCCCAAGUACCAGAACACAUGUACACUAUCACCAUGUUUGUUUAAUUUGUCUUUGGAAUUAAUAACAUUAUUGUUAAACUCUUCGCUAAUUAAUAUUUUUUUUUUAAUAUUUAAAACAAGCAAUAAUAACAAGGCAAAUCAAUUAUAUCAAGCAUCAAUGUUAAUAUUAAAAUGAAGUCCCAGUUCAUUCCUAAUAGCUUCAAUCCAGUCCUCACCUAAAGCUAUUGCUGCAUCAGUAUAACUGCCUCUUACAGCAAUGAAUGAGCUUAAGAACUUCUGACAGUGCUCCUGCACUUGAGGU